This 342-nucleotide ribosomal RNA is filed under the name uncultured bacterium. RNAcentral's name for it is "bacterial SSU rRNA". It matches the Rfam family "Bacterial small subunit ribosomal RNA", at positions 556 to 901 of the family's 1533-position model. The record is from RNAcentral.
GGGUUUAAAGCGUGCGCAGGCGGUUCUGUAAGUCAGAUGUGAAAUCCCCGGGCUUAACCUGGGAACUGCGUUUGAAACUGCAGAGCUAGAGUGCGGCAGAGGGGGUGGAAUUCCAUGUGUAGCAGUGAAAUGCGUAGAGAUAUGGAAGAACAUCGAUGGCGAAGGCAACCCCCUGGGCUAGCACUGACGCUCAUGCACGAAAGCGUGGGGAGCAAACAGGAUUAGAUACCCUGGUAGUCCACGCCCUAAACUAUGUCAACUAGUUGUCGGGUCUUAAUAGACUUGGUAACGUAGCUAACGCGUGAAGUUGACCGCCUGGGGAGUACGUCGCAAGAUUAAACU